UUCGUGGCUUAUUGGUAGAGCAUAUGUUUAGUAUGCACAAGAUCCUGGUUCAAUCCCCAGCAUGAAA
RNAcentral lists this transfer RNA (67 nucleotides) under Marmota monax (woodchuck). RNAcentral describes it as "tRNA.Thr". Lineage: Eukaryota; Metazoa; Chordata; Mammalia; Rodentia; Sciuridae. The record is from RNAcentral.